This 110-nucleotide small RNA is filed under the name chicken gut metagenome. Its description in RNAcentral is "drum RNA". It matches the Rfam family "drum RNA". Rfam says of the family: Firmicutes, Bacteroidetes (1 example), Proteobacteria (2 examples), Spirochaetes (2 examples). Terminator (Clostridia) The record is from RNAcentral.
GUGUCAAAGCAUAGCAGCGUACCUGAAAGCCUUGCUAUGCCCAGCCUUCAAGAAGGGUUGUGCAGUGGUACCUCAAACCGGAGUAGGUCUCAAAGCCGAAAGAAAAUGCU